GAAAACCUCACUUCUUCUAUGUUUCUCUAUUUGGCCACUUGAAGGGGAAAAAAAACGGUUCCAACUGGCAUUAAUGCUCCUUAAUUAAGCUCAAAGCUAGGAACUGCCCCCACAGGGCAGGUUUGUGGCUGUGCGUUUGGGUCACAGCAUGUAGCAAGGUAAUCUGUUAACUGAAGUGGGCACCUAGAACAUCUACCCAUUGUGCACCACCUGACUGCCGCUUCCUCCUUGAAGCCCUCCUGCCCAGGGUGCAGAGCCUGUUCUCCUCCUACCUCUCCAGGUAGUCUCUCGGUCUCUCCCUGGUGCCUAGUACUCUUCAUCCCUCUCAGAAUUUGUGUUCCCCAAAGCUCUUCUCCCUGCCUCUGGACGUCUCCACAGAGGUGCACCUCCAUGAAGCUGUGCACCCUACGUCCUUUGGCACUGAACAUCCUCCAACAGUCCCCAUCCGCCUCCCUUAAAGCCAAUGUGUUGUAGGGGAAGCUGGCUCCACCGCCAUGUCCAGGUGUGGUCCCUGAGUGGAUCAGGGAAAAAUCCUUCUUCACUAAGCCUUAGUCAAUGAGCACAUGGCAUUUCUUUAGCCACAGGAAAUGACUCAGCAGUGGGCAUGUGUCCAGGUCAGUGAGAGGGGAAGGCAGACGUGCUGGAGACUUCUGGGAAAGGAGGCUCUCGACUUCUAAGAAUCCUGAGAGGGUGUCUCUCUUAAUUGAUGUGGCGUGAAGGUGGGACAUCUGGUGCUGCUGCAGCCAUCCUGCCACCAAGAGGAAGGCCAGAACCAGGCCCACAAAGCAGAACAGCAGAAAUAUUUGACGCCUUGCAGGGCGCAGCUCAAUGACCAAAUCAAAUUGCUGAAACCUGUCUUGGAUGUCUUGAACUUUCUAGUUAUGCAACUUACUGGGCCCCUUUAUUGUGUGAGUUGGCUUGAGCUGGGUAUUCUGUAAUUUGCAAUCAAUAGUAACUGUGUCAUGCUAAUGAUCUCAUACAUCUGUAGGGGUUCAAAUCCUGUCUGGGGUGGAGUUAGCUUCCCCUGAAGCACAUUGGCUUUAAGAGAAGAGGGAGGGUACCCAGUGAGGGACUGUUGGGGCUGAGGCCACCAAACCUCACAGUGAUCUAGUAAACAUCUCCAUUUGGGUAUUGGGGAUCCUUCAAAACCCCUCAAAGUAAAAUAUUAAACCCUUUAAGGCCCUGACCAAUCCUCACCCACCCUCUGCCUGGCUGGCCCUAGUUCUGAUAACUGCACUGUCAUCUUCCGACCCAAUCACUAAGCUACGUGGAACAUUUUGGAAUGGAUUCUCUCUCUCACUCUCUAUAGCCACCAUAGAUCUCUGGCCUCAAGUCCCUCCUCUCCAUUUCCAGUGCCACUGCUUCCUCAAAUGGACCACUCUGGGAGCACCAGCUUGCCACUUGGCCUUUCAGACUAAAACCAGGAUCUGACCCCAUCCUUUACACUUGUUCCUCCUGAGGCUCCCCACUGCCUUUCUGCCUACUAGGAAACAUAGAUCUAAAUGUUCACACAGAGCCUACAUUCCUUUUUCUUUCUUUUUGAGACAGGGUCUUGCUGUGUUACCCAGGCUGGAGUGCAAUGGCAUGAUCACAGCUCACAGCAGUCUCGACCUCCUGGACAUAAGCAAUCCUCCCACCUCAUCCCCCACAAGUAGACUACAGGUGUGUGCCACCAUGCCUGGCUAAUUUUUUUUUUACUUUUUUUUGUAGAGAAGGGGUCUCACUAUGUUACCCAGGUUGGUCCCAAACUCCUGGGCUCAACUGAUCCUCCCAAAGUGCUGAGAUUACAGGUGUGAGCCACCAUGCCUGGUCAGAGCCUAGAUUUCCAACUACACUAUACAAAUACAGCCAGGCACACAACAAAUGCCCUAUAAGGCAGUAAUCAUAGGUCUCCUCCUCAUACAUCAAGGCCCACAUCAAAUGUCACCUCCUCUGAGAAGCCCUCCUGAACUCACCGAGGCAGAAACUAUUUCUCUCUCCUGCUCUGACCAUCUUUACCAUUUGCUUCACAGUUCUCCUGUGGUACUAGUGAUCAUUUGGGGUCAUCAUCUGCUUUUUGGCCAGGCCUUCACUAAACUUUGAGCAACUCUUUGAGCCUUAUACCUUCCUUCAAGUUUCUGACACUUAAUAAAUUUAUUAUGUUCACCGGUAACACUGUCUCUUUAAAGUUGAUUAAAUCAGAGAAUUCCAUAUACCAAGGCACCAAGCAAGAAAAAUCUUAGGACAUUAGGGCCUAGAGACCCAGAUUUUCUUUUUUAAAUUUACAGAACAUUAACCUACUUUUCCUUUAGAGUAAAGUGAGAUCAAAAUAUGCUUACUCGUGCCAUAAGGUCAAUGAAUAAAAAUCUGUAAGAUGUUGUUACAAUAUGAAAGAAAAAUUAUGAUGAAUGUCAUGCAAAAGGAAUCUGAAAAACUAACAGAAAACAAAGAAGCAUUUGUUUUUGUGUUGUGUGUAUGUGUUUUUUUGUUUUUUUGUUUUUUUUCUGGAGACAGGGUCUCACUCUGUCACCCAGGCUGGAGUUCAGUGGCACAAUCAUAGCUCACUGCAUCAUAGCUCACUGCAGCCUUGACCUCUCAGGUUAAGGCACUGUACCCAGCCCAGCAUUUGUUUAAAAAAGAAAGAAAGAAUGAGCAUUCUCUCCUAGCAUAAAGGGUCUCCCUAUCCCUGGCACAUGUUUAAACCCUAAUUUAUAAACAAUAUCUGGCAACAGCAAAGGGAAUUCAGAGGCUCACUGGCAGUAAUGAAACUGAUCAGCCCUCCCUUGGGACACACAUUUACAGGAACAUUCUGCUGGAAAGUGCUGGUGCUGGGACCCCCCAGCAGGCCUCCUG
RNAcentral lists this long non-coding RNA (2832 nucleotides) under Homo sapiens (human). RNAcentral's name for it is "HSALNT0311984". The record is from RNAcentral. Lineage: Eukaryota; Metazoa; Chordata; Mammalia; Primates; Hominidae.